UAGGGAAUCUUCGGCAAUGGACGGAAGUCUGACCGAGCAACGCCGCGUGAGUGAAGAAGGUUUUCGGAUCGUAAAGCUCUGUUGUUAGAGAAGAACGUUGGCAGGAGUGGAAAAUCUACCAAGUGACGGUAACUAACCAGAAAGGGACGGCUAACUACGUGCCAGCAGCCGCGGUAAUACGUAGGUCCCGAGCGUUGUCCGGAUUUAUUGGGCGUAAAGCGAGCGCAGGCGGUUCUUUAAGUCUGAAGUUAAAGGCAGUGGCUUAACCAUUGUACGCUGUGGAAACUGGAGGACUUGAGUGCAGAAGGGGAGAGUGGAAUUCCAUGUGUAGCGGUGAAAUGCGUAGAUAUAUGGAGGAACACCGGUGGCGAAAGCGGCUCUCUGGUCUGUAACUGACGCUGAGGCUCGAAAGCGUGGGGAGCAAACAGG
Molecule: ribosomal RNA, 429 nt
Filed under: Bacillota bacterium
Lineage: Bacteria; Bacillati; Bacillota
Description: Firmicutes bacterium partial 16S ribosomal RNA
Rfam family: Bacterial small subunit ribosomal RNA
Source: RNAcentral